This 340-nucleotide unclassified non-coding RNA is filed under the name fungal sp. RNAcentral's name for it is "partial internal transcribed spacer region". The stretch from base 1 to 46 matches the Rfam family "Eukaryotic small subunit ribosomal RNA", at positions 1786 to 1831 of the family's 1831-position model. Lineage: Eukaryota; Fungi. The record is from RNAcentral.
AAGUCGUAACAAGGUUUCCGUAGGUGAACCUGCGGAAGGAUCAUUAACACGUAUCCAACGUUAAAACAACCCUGUGAACCUUCAAUUUUGCUCGCGUGACUCCAUAAAAAAGCAGCAAUCCCUGGUAAAUCAUUGUCACCCCCAAGCAAUCAGAGUUCUGAAAGCGUCUUUGAUUGUGUAAGGGUGGCGCAAACACGAUCGUUGGAGGCCGACACGGCCGACGACCGGGUCCCUGGGUCACCAUGCCCCUUAAUCACCACACUGUAACGCCGACAGGUCGCGAUAAUUCCGCUGACCACAAAAAACCGAACAACUGUUAACAAUGGAUAUCUUGGUUCUC